AAAAUACAGAGUACUAUCAUCAAUACAAGUCCUUUGACAGUGAUCGUUCACAACCGAUGUUGACACAACGGUGGGGAAAAAUACAAAAGGUGGUGAACAAAUUUUCAGGAUGUUUUGCAGCUAUAAAUGAAAGACAUGAAAGUGGGAAGACUGAACAAGACAAGAUGCAAAGAAGUUGUUUGAAGCACAAGAAAAGAUUCGGUUCAAUCUUGAUCAUGCUUGGAUUUUGUUAAGGCACCAACCAAAGUGGAUACAACUAAUGCAAGAGCUGGACAUCAAGAAAAGUAAGCCAAGAUCUAAAUCUUCUAUAACUAAUAUCUCAUCAUCUUCAACUACAAGCACUCACAUAGAUAUAGAAGAAGGCACGAACACUUGCUUUCCAAUGUCUAGACCACCGGAUAAGAAGGCUGAGAAAAGAAAGCUGAAAGAAACCACUGAUCAAUUGGUGCAAAUACAAAAAUUACAUCAAGAAAAAAAAGAAAGAGAUGAAAAAAAACUGGAGAUUAUGAAGGAGAAAGUUGAAGUUGACAAGGAGAAACUGCGAGUUAGGAAACUUGAGGCUGAGAAUAGGAAAUUUGAGGCUGAGAUGAAAAUUAUGUCUAUGGAUACAUCAACUAUGAAUCCUGAGCAGAGGGCAUAUUAUUCCAAACUUCAGAUGAAAAUUCUCCAAGGUGAUAUAUGAAGUGUGAGGUUGUUGGUUUCCAUUUUAGUUUGUAUCAGUUUGAGCAACUUCCAGUGAUCAUGUAUUUGACUGCUUGCAAACUCUUUCAAGUUGUCAUUGUUUCCUGCUAUUUGACUGCACGUUUUCCAGUUUGUGUUUCUGUUUUCAAUCCAUUUCAGUUUGUAUCAUGAUGUUGGUUUCAUGUGAUGUUGUAUUUGAGUGCUAUCAAAAUCAAGCUGAUUCUGUUUGCUGCUA
Long non-coding RNA from Rosa chinensis, 916 nucleotides. RefSeq lists it as uncharacterized. NCBI's taxonomy places the organism in Eukaryota, Viridiplantae, Streptophyta, Magnoliopsida, Rosales, Rosaceae. The transcript has 2 exons. The record is from RefSeq and is a predicted model, not a curated record.